ACCUAGCUGGCUCAGUCAGUAGAGCAUGCAACUCUUGAUCUCAGGGUUGUGAGUUCAAGCCCUACGUUGGGCA
RNAcentral lists this transfer RNA (73 nucleotides) under Ailuropoda melanoleuca (giant panda). It matches the Rfam family "tRNA". From Rfam's summary of the family: Transfer RNA (tRNA) molecules are approximately 80 nucleotides in length. Their secondary structure includes four short double-helical elements and three loops (D, anti-codon, and T loops). Further hydrogen bonds mediate the characteristic L-shaped molecular structure. tRNAs have two regions of fundamental functional importance: the anti-codon, which is responsible for specific mRNA codon recognition, and the 3' end, to which the tRNAs corresponding amino acid is attached (by aminoacyl-tRNA synthetases). tRNAs cope with the degeneracy of the genetic code in two manners: having more than one tRNA (with a specific anti-codon) for a particular amino acid; and 'wobble' base-pairing, i.e. permitting non-standard base-pairing at the 3rd anti-codon position. The record is from Rfam by way of RNAcentral. Lineage: Eukaryota; Metazoa; Chordata; Mammalia; Carnivora; Ursidae.